RNAcentral lists this ribosomal RNA (735 nucleotides) under Daldinia loculata. Its description in RNAcentral is "eukaryotic LSU rRNA". The stretch from base 159 to 735 matches the Rfam family "Eukaryotic large subunit ribosomal RNA", at positions 1 to 587 of the family's 3401-position model. Lineage: Eukaryota; Fungi; Ascomycota; Sordariomycetes; Xylariales; Hypoxylaceae. The record is from RNAcentral.
AAGCCUAGUUGCUUAGUGUUGGGAAUCUGCCCUGUAUUUAUAGGGCAGUUCCUUAAAGUGAUCGGCGGAGUUAGGGCAUACUCUAAGCGUAGUAAUAUUCUUCUCGCUUCUGUAGUUGUCCUGGCGGCUUGCCGUUAAACCCCUAUAUUUCUAGUGGUUGACCUCGGAUUAGGUAGGAAUACCCGCUGAACUUAAGCAUAUCAAUAAGCGGAGGAAAAGAAACCAACAGGGAUUGCCCUAGUAACGGCGAGUGAAGCGGCAACAGCUCAAAUUUGAAAUCUGGCCCUAGCGGUCCGAGUUGUAAUUUGUAGAGGAUGCUUUUGGUUAGGUGCCUUCUGAGUUCCCUGGAACGGGACGCCAGAGAGGGUGAGAGCCCCGUACGGUUGGACACCGAGCCUCUAUAUAGCUCCUUCGACGAGUCGAGUAGUUUGGGAAUGCUGCUCUAAAUGGGAGGUAAAUUUCUUCUAAAGCUAAAUACCGGCCAGAGACCGAUAGCGCACAAGUAGAGUGAUCGAAAGAUGAAAAGUACUUUGAAAAGAGGGUUAAAUAGCACGUGAAAUUGUUGAAAGGGAAGCGUUUGCGACCAGACUUUUUCCAGGCGGAUCAUCCGGUGUUCUCACCGGUGCACUUCGCCUGGUUUAGGCCAGCAUCGGUUCUCUUAGGGGGAUAAAGGCCUGGGGAACGUAGCUCCUUCGGGAGUGUUAUAGCCCCUAGCGUAAUACCCUUCGGGGGACC